This 339-nucleotide ribosomal RNA is filed under the name Triticum aestivum (bread wheat). Its description in RNAcentral is "partial small subunit ribosomal RNA". The record is from RNAcentral. Lineage: Eukaryota; Viridiplantae; Streptophyta; Magnoliopsida; Poales; Poaceae.
AUAAAGGAACAGAUAACUCGAUCAAUUUUUCUAUCGAUCAUGAUAUACGUAAUAAUUCGGACAUCUAUUUCAAAUGCAUAUCCCAUUUUUGCGCAGCAGGGUUAUGAAAACUCACGAGAAGCAACUGGACAAAUUGUAUGUGCUAAUUGCCAUUUCGCUAGGAAGCCCGUCGAUAUUGAAAUUCCCCAAGUUGUGAUUCUCGAUACUAUAUUUGAAGCAGUUCUUCGAAUUCCUUUUGAUAUGCAAUUGAAACAAGUUCUUGCUAAUGGAAAAAAGGGAGGGUUGAAUGUAGGUGUUGUUCUUAUAUUUCCCGAGGGAUUCGAAUUAGAUUCGAUGUAG